Molecule: long non-coding RNA, 3102 nt
Filed under: Daucus carota (carrot)
Lineage: Eukaryota; Viridiplantae; Streptophyta; Magnoliopsida; Apiales; Apiaceae
Description: long non-coding RNA (DCAR_LNC002749)
Source: RNAcentral
CAAUCCCCUAUCCGCCUCCGAUCCAUCCUCAGGACGCGUCUUCUUCGGUGACGGGUCUGGCUACAGCGAGCCAGACCCCGGUCACUCACUAGAAGCCACACAUCAACAACUCCACGGAGCAACCUUAACUUCUACUACUUUUUCUUCCAAUAGUACUGGCAGCAUUCGUGUUCCCACAAUGCAAGGCUUCGCUGAACAAGCCGAGAGUAUUAACAAAGGCAUGUCUGAUGUCGUCAUGAACGGAUUUAAACCAGAAAUGGUGCCUGUUUACAAGGAAUUGGUGCAGGAAUUUGCGGUGUGUGACAGAUGGUUCGCGUCGAUUCCAACACUGACGCAGCCUAAUAGAUUGUACAUACAUUCGGCUACUUCUUAUGGUGCUACCGAAAAUGAUACGAGUAUGUUGAUUAAAGGGUAUCCGCAGAAGACCAUUUUUGAGUCGUUGGAAGAAGGGGGUUGCAGUUUCGGGAUCUAUCAUCAGUAUCCUCCCAACACACUUUUCUUUAGGUAACAUUCAUCUUUAGUUGUUGACCAUAAUUUAAAUUUAGUUAUAAUUAUCUAAUGUCAGGAUUAAUGUUAAAAAUUACUUCAUCUGUUCCACUCAAAUGUUUAUAUUUGAGUUGGGUACGGAGGUUAAGAAAAUAAAAGUGCAAAAAUGAGAAAAUUGAGGAGGGUGAUGAGACCCGUAAGUAGUAGGAAUAGUUGAUUUUUCUGUCAUAAAAUUUUACUAUAUUUGAUAAGCUUUGAAAUGUCAAGAAUUGGAUUAGACAUCUCAAAAAAAAAAGUGUAAAUAAAUAAUAGAGAGGGAGGAAAUAUUAAUUUUCCAAGAUUAUUAAUCAAUCGAGAUUUAAUAUGUACACUUGCAGAAAUCAGUAUUGCUUAGCUGGUGUUGGAUAGUUUACUUAUAUUAUGAGCAUCUUUGUUUGACAUACAGAAUUGCCAGCUUCAUCAAUUUGACUAAUUUAACAUUUUUAAGAUAACGUGUUGGUUUUGAUGAUGGCAUUGAGAACAAUAAUGGAUCAUGUGUUGAAGACAAACUAAUUUUUAAGUAACUCUGAGUCUCUGACCUUUGAUGAUUCUUUUAAGUUUUUUUGCUAAGUUUAGUGCUGUAACAUAUAUGAAAUUAAACCUCGUGUACUACACCCUCAGUCGGAAAUAUGAUCACGUGCCGUGUCCUUUACUAGAUCCGUCUUUUAGAGGACAUGAGAUUUCUUCUGGAGAAGCAAAAGCAAUGCACUCAUCAGCACUCUGUUUUCAUUGUUAAUCUGCAAAGUGGUAGUACUGACUAGCAGUGAAAUGUUGGGAGAUUCAAAGAUUUAUUGCGGUAAAAUGUAGUUUCUCAAGUUAUAAAUGAGAACUAUUUUCUUUUCGCAGGAAUAUGAGAAAGCUUAAGUACAUAGACAAUUACCAUCAGUUUGAUCUGCAAUUCAAGGACCACUGCGAAAAAGGGAAAUUACCAAACUAUGUGGUGAUUGAGAACCGAUAUCUUGACACUAAAUUGUUGCCUGGAAACGAUGAUCACCCUGCUCAUGAUGUUUCGGAAGGCCAGAAAUUUGUGAAACAAGUUUAUGAAGCAUUGAGAUCAAGUCCGCAAUGGAAUGAGAUUUUGUUUUUGAUUAUUUAUGACGAACAUGGCGGUUUCUAUGAUCAUGUCCCUCCUCCAAUCACCGGAGUGCCCAGUCCCGAUGACAUCGAUGGCCCUGAGCCGUAUAAAUUCAAAUUCGACCGGCUAGGAGUUAGGGUGCCUGUUAUUAUGGUUUCUCCCUGGAUCGAACGAGGAACAGGUACCUUUACUUUUUUCUAAGUAGACUCAUUAUUAGCCAUCUACAAUUAAUCAACUAAAGUAUGAUUCGGUAUUGUUGUCGCAAAAUCAGCUGAAAAACUAUUUGGUAAAUUUAAAAACAGCUUUCCUGGACAAUAGGUCUUCCCAUGCUUCUGCGAGAAGUUAUCAUAAAUUUCACAAUCAAACCUCAUCAAAAAUAUAUUUUUUUAUAUAAUUACUCAAAAUAUGUAAAUACCAAAAAAUUACCNAAAAAAAAAAAAAAAAAAAAAAAGUGUAAUUCUAGGAAUAAAGAAUUCGGUAAAGUUGUAUGAGAAGAUGAGUGGAGUAAUUUUCGCUGUAAUAAUAUUAUAAUAUUGGAGAAACGAGAGAUUCAAAGUGACAUACAUAUAAUAAUUACCUGCAAAAUCACUAUUCUAAAAAAAUUUCAUUUAUUUAAAAAUUCCUAGCUAACUUUUGAAUAUUUUUCCUGAUUUAUUGAUCGAAUUCGACUAAAAAGCCUUGUUCAUAAAAUAUUUAUAAUAUAAAUUCUGAAUUGAUAAAUAAAUCAGUUAUGCUGUGUUCACUUGGAUGGAAUGAAAUGAGUGGAGAAUGUAAUUAAAAAAAUAUAUAUAAAUUUUAAAGAGAAAAAAAAAAAAAGAUAAUAGCGACAAAAUAUGAAUGUAUUUUAAUUUUUUAUGACAAAGAUAGUAAAGAAAGUAGAUGCAAUUUCAUAGUCAAAACUUUUCAUUCUUGUUAAUAUAAACACAUGUAUAUAAUCACCAGCUCAAGAGCAGUGAUUUGACUCUAUGAUUCAACAACUACAUUAGCUUGGUACAUAACAUUAUCAACUCUGAUUAUAAAACUCAUGCAAGAGGUGACAAUGUAGAAAAGCCUUGGCAACUUUAAUUCCAAUCAUAUCAACUCAAACAACAACAAAACCAUCUCAGGUCGAAAAAAUGGCAGCCGAAGCAACAACCAGCACAUAUCCUAUCAAGACAAUAGUCCUUGUAGUCCAAGAAAACCGAUCAUUCGACCACAUGUUAGGAUGGAUGAAAUCCCUAAACGACAACAUCAAUGGUGUGACCGGAGGCGAAUCCAAUCCCCUAUCCGCCUCCGAUCCAUCCUCAGGACGCGUCUUCUUCGGUGACGGGUCUGGCUACAGCGAGCCAGACCCCGGUCACUCACUAGAAGCCACACAUCAACAACUCCACGGAGCAACCUUAACUUCUACUACUUUUUCUUCCAAUAGUACUGGCAGCAUUCGUGUUCCCACAAUGCAAGGCUUCGCUGAACAAGCCGAGAGUAUUAACAAAGGCAUGUCUGAUGUCGUCAUGAACGGAUUU